This is a non-coding RNA of Xyrichtys novacula (pearly razorfish), 1153 nucleotides long. Lineage: Eukaryota; Metazoa; Chordata; Actinopteri; Labriformes; Labridae. The record is from the annotation of a GenBank genome assembly.
AUCGAAUCAUGUUUUUUCAAGUUCUUUUUUCCCGCUAGUUGGUGCUAUCGGCGUCCUGAUUUUCCCUGGUGGAUGGUACAAACAGGUAAAUACUGCUUGUCUUUUUUGCAUCCAAGCAUGACGUGUUUAUUUUAAAAAAAAGUUUCCUCCGUUUUUUAGCGUUGCAGAUAUGACAGGCAAAAUCAGCCAGUACUUUAAAAAGCGACCUCGCGAGGAGGAAAGUCAAGAGUCCAGGUGAAACACAACAGAGAAAAAAACGUAACAGGCAGUUAAAAUGCUAUAAUUCAUGGUGGUGACAACGUGGAAAUUUGUGUCAGGUCUGAAAGUACUUCACAAGGGACUGGUGAUCGUGAGGGUCCGAAUGCAGGACAGGACGAGUCGGCGAGGCGAGGGUAAUUAAUGAAUUAGUUUCCAAUUAGGAGCAUAACAACGCAAAGCUAACGUGUACGGGGUUUUUAUUCCUCUUUCCAGAUCUUCUCAAAAACACAGAGCCAGUGGCUUUGACAAGCAGUGGCUCAAUCAAUUUACCUGGCUUAUGAUUGAAAACACUAUCACUCUUCAUGUCUGUAUCAGAAUAAAAACAAAAAUACUUAAUGCAUGAUGAAUUGUUUUGUUUAAGGUGAAGACACCUCUGUGGAACAGACUGAAGGAGAGGCGCUUGGAUGUCUGUUGUAAGGUGGCCGUUGAUGGACCAGACCAGGAGGCCUUGGACUACAAGGAGUGCAUGAGGAGGUUCUACAGAAUGAAAAAGAGGAGGCUGAAAUGUUCUGUCUGGUUGCGAGAUGUGUGGAUGAAGUGUACUUUCAAUUUAAAGUUGCAAGCUGAUUUGUGUAUGUAUAUAGUUUUAAUAAAUGAAUGCUUUAACAUGAUAAUGGUCACACUCUUUUUUGAACUCUUAACUUAAAGUAUGUUGCCUGUAAAAGAAAGUGAGUCAGUUGAAUUUACAAAUACAUGCACGUCAUGGCGCAUGGUCAGGAUGGUGGCACCUCUGCCUCAAUUUGAGCCAGGAAAAACCCUGUUUAAGGUGGAUGUUGAUGGGCAGAUCAGAGGCAUCCACUGUGAAUGGUGAGUAAAAGACUUUGAACUCUGUCUCUAUUCCAUAUUCCAGAUUUUCCAACCAAUUUUUUAUUAGAAAUGCAUUACGGAAUUUUCA